ACACAUAGAUUACAAUUUGGACUA
RNAcentral lists this non-coding RNA (24 nucleotides) under Arabidopsis thaliana (thale cress). The record is from RNAcentral. Lineage: Eukaryota; Viridiplantae; Streptophyta; Magnoliopsida; Brassicales; Brassicaceae.